RNAcentral lists this ribosomal RNA (773 nucleotides) under uncultured bacterium. RNAcentral describes it as "bacterial SSU rRNA". It matches the Rfam family "Bacterial small subunit ribosomal RNA", at positions 8 to 798 of the family's 1533-position model. The record is from RNAcentral.
AGAGUUUGAUCCUGGCUCAGGACGAACGCUGGCGGCGUGCUUAACACAUGCAAGUCGAACGGAAAGGCCCUUCGGGGUACUCGAGUGGCGAACGGGUGAGUAACACGUGGGUGAUCUGCCCUGCACUUUGGGAUAAGCCUGGGAAACUGGGUCUAAUACCGAAUAGGACCACGCGCUUCAUGGUGUGUGGUGGAAAGCUUUUGCGGUGUGGGAUGGGCCCGCGGCCUAUCAGCUUGUUGGUGGGGUAAUGGCCUACCAAGGCGACGACGGGUAGCCGGCCUGAGAGGGUGACCGGCCACACUGGGACUGAGAUACGGCCCAGACUCCUACGGGAGGCAGCAGUGGGGAAUAUUGCACAAUGGGCGCAAGCCUGAUGCAGCGACGCCGCGUGAGGGAUGACGGCCUUCGGGUUGUAAACCUCUUUCAAUAGGGACGAAGCGCAAGUGACGGUACCUAUAGAAGAAGCACCGGCCAACUACGUGCCAGCAGCCGCGGUAAUACGUAGGGUGCGAGCGUUGUCCGGAAUUACUGGGCGUAAAGAGCUCGUAGGUGGUUUGUCGCGUUGUUCGUGAAAAUUCACAGCUUAACUGUGGGCGUGCGGGCGAUACGGGCAGACUAGAGUACUGCAGGGGAGACUGGAAUUCCUGGUGUAGCGGUGGAAUGCGCAGAUAUCAGGAGGAACACCGGUGGCGAAGGCGGGUCUCUGGGCAGUAACUGACGCUGAGGAGCGAAAGCGUGGGGAGCGAACAGGAUUAGAUACCCCGGUAGUCCAA